This 426-nucleotide unclassified non-coding RNA is filed under the name Pseudoarabidopsis toxophylla. RNAcentral describes it as "partial external transcribed spacer; ETS". Lineage: Eukaryota; Viridiplantae; Streptophyta; Magnoliopsida; Brassicales; Brassicaceae. The record is from RNAcentral.
UGCUCGCGCAUCGAACUACUUACCACCUAUCCUUCUCAGUUAAAUCACGGGCGAUGUUACGCUCGAUGAUCGGAUCCGGGGCCUGUGUUGCGUACCUAACUAGACGGUAUUGUUGCGUUUGUUUCCACCCUUGUCCGCGGCAUCUCCUUUGCGGGAGAAGUCGUGGACACGUAAAUCGGCACUUGUUUUCCUUUCGACGUUGCAUCAUAUGCCUCGCUCGCAUUGGCUAAUAAGCUGCCGGUUGAAAUCUCGGAUGCCGAAAAGUUAUAGGCGUUGACUCGAAGCGAUUCAGUCUCGUCAAAGCUCAUCUGUCCCUCGGACAAAAGAUAACGGUCGAGACCUCUUCCGCUCUUUCUUUCCUUAGCGUUAGCGAGAACGUGUUGGGGAAUCGCCGUGAUCGAUGAAUGCUACCUGGUUGAUCCUGCC